GCCGCCAUGGUGAAAUCGGUAGACACGCUGCUCUUAGGAAGCAGUGCUAGAGCAUCUCGGUUCGAGUCCGAGUGCGGCA
Molecule: transfer RNA, 79 nt
Filed under: Salix viminalis (osier)
Lineage: Eukaryota; Viridiplantae; Streptophyta; Magnoliopsida; Malpighiales; Salicaceae
Rfam family: tRNA
About the family: Transfer RNA (tRNA) molecules are approximately 80 nucleotides in length.
Source: RNAcentral